AUGGCGCUCAAGGGGCCGUCGUCGUUCGCGAAGCAGCCGCGGAAGUCGUGGCGCGCGAAGCUGAUGACCCUGGAGGUGACCGUACUGUCCGCGGAGAAGGUCUUCACGGGGUGGCUCUGGCGCCGCCGCUGCAUCGCGACGCGUUCGCCGCGGUCAACACAGACUCGUCGGCCGCCCGUACCGGCUUCAACGACGAGGACGGCGACUGCAACGGGUACCCCUACUGGGGCGAGGCGGUGCGCGUGA
Molecule: ribosomal RNA, 246 nt
Filed under: Triticum aestivum (bread wheat)
Lineage: Eukaryota; Viridiplantae; Streptophyta; Magnoliopsida; Poales; Poaceae
Description: partial small subunit ribosomal RNA
Source: RNAcentral